Oenanthe melanoleuca is the source of this 1059-nucleotide long non-coding RNA. RefSeq lists it as uncharacterized. NCBI's taxonomy places the organism in Eukaryota, Metazoa, Chordata, Aves, Passeriformes, Muscicapidae. The record is from RefSeq and is a predicted model, not a curated record. The transcript has 3 exons.
GCUAUGUGUGUGUUCGUGUGUGUGUCUGAGAUCUCAACCAGUCUUACCAAAACCUGAGAUGCCGGGACCAAGCUGGAUUUCUCCUGGGCUUCCGACCAGCAGAUGCACAGGGAGAGGGAUUCCGCGGUUCCUCCCGUCCGAGAUGAGCCUGGCAGCUGGUUUCUGGCCGCUGUUCAAGAUCACAGCAGGAGCCUAGACGUCUGGGGCCGACGCCCACCCAAGGGACGCCAGAUGUCACUGUCUGAGGGUCUCUUGUGCCCAAGACCACUCAGAUGGACAUAGGAUGGUGGUUCAAGGCUCAGGGUAUUCUUGAAGCUGCCGAAGAAAGGCUGCAGGCGACAAUCGUCCGGUCUCAAGAGCUCCCCUGAAGGGACAGACAGGGAAUGGCUACCUUAAGGAGCAAAAUACUUCCUGCAACAUUCACAGUCACUGGAAGAUGAUUCCUGAUACUACUAAACAGAGCAGCUCCAGAUACGGGUUUGGAUUAUGACAUUUAUCAACCUCCAAAGUUACUCUUUGGCAUGCAAACAGUACAAGUUAGAGACUGUUCUUAUUCAUCAGUGAAAGUCAUGUUUUAAAAGCUAAGAAAUUGUUGCAAUGUGGAUGAGAGCCAUUUCAUGACAUUCAGUCAGCAAGGAGUGGACCAAAACCUCUUUAUCUAUGCCUAAUGUAUCAAGAACAGUUCUGGAGUACCUCCACCUUGAAAACCAUGGGAUAUACCCACAAACACACUAAGGUGAGACCAGAGAAUGAGGGAACAGUUGCAUGCAUGUUUAGAACCAGUUUGUAUUCUCCUUUGAUAUGACUAAGUGAAGAACACAUUUUAAUUUUGCUUUCCCUGCUCCUUCCCAAUUUUGCCUAUUUCUUGCCUUCAAACAGUAGGAUUUUUAGCUCAGGGACUAUUUUUCACUCUGUUUAUGACUGAUUUUUAGCAUAAAAUAUCAUACCUCUGUCAUAGUUAAAAGAGCUAUGACAAUUGUUGUUAACCUACAGAUCUUGAUCUUGAACUCUCAUUAACAAAACAAUGCAAUUAUUAAUGCUAAUAAAAUGAUCCUUCUG